UUAGUGGCGGACGGGUGAGUAACGCGUGGGUGACCUGCCUUAUACUGGGGGAUAACACUUAGAAAUAGGUGCUAAUACCGCAUAAGCGCACAGUUCUGCAUGGAACAGUGUGAAAAACUGAGGUGGUAUAAGAUGGACCCGCGUCUGAUUAGCUAGUUGGUGAGGUAACGGCCCACCAAGGCGACGAUCAGUAGCCGGCCUGAGAGGGUGAACGGCCACAUUGGGACUGAGACACGGCCCAAACUCCUACGGGAGGCAGCAGUGGGGAAUAUUGCACAAUGGGGGAAACCCUGAUGCAGCGACGCCGCGUGAGUGAAGAAGUUAUUCGUAACGUAAAGCUCUAUCAGCAGGGAAGAAAAUGACGGUACCUGACUAAGAAGCCCCGGCUAACUACGUGCCAGCAGCCGCGGUAAUACGUAGGGGGCAAGCGUUAUCCGGAUUUACUGGGUGUAAAGGGAGCGUAGACGGCAAUGCAAGUCUGGAGUGAAAAUCCGGGGCUCAACCCCGGAACUGCUUUGGAAACUGUGUAGCUAGAGUGCAGGAGAGGUAAGCGGAAUUCCUAGUGUAGCGGUGAAAUGCGUAGAUAUUAGGAGGAACACCGGUGGCGAAGGCGGCUUACUGGACUGUAACUGACGUUGAGGCUCGAAAGC
Molecule: ribosomal RNA, 650 nt
Filed under: uncultured bacterium
Lineage: Bacteria
Description: bacterial SSU rRNA
Rfam family: Bacterial small subunit ribosomal RNA
Source: RNAcentral